CAGCAGCCGCGGUAAUACCGGCGGCCCGAGUGGCGGUCACUAUUAUUGGGCUUAAAGCGUCCGUAGCCGGGUUGGGAAGUCCUCCGGGAAAUCUGGCCGCUUAACGGUCAGAAUGCCGGAGGAUACUCCCAGCCUAGGGAGCGGGAGAGGCCGAGGGUAUUCCCGGAGUAGGGGUGAAAUCCUAUAAUCCCGGGAGGACCACCUGUGGCGAAGGCGCUCGGCUGGAACGCGUCCGACGGUGAGGGACGAAGGCCAGGGGAGCAAACCGGAUUAGAUACCCGGGUAGUCCUGGCUGUAAACGAUGCGGACUUUGUGUCGGACAAGCUAUGAGCUUGUCCGGUGCCGGAGGGAAACCGUUAAGUCCGCCGCCUGGGGAGUACGGCCGCAAGGCUGAAACUUAAAGGAAUUGCGGG
RNAcentral lists this ribosomal RNA (413 nucleotides) under uncultured microorganism. RNAcentral's name for it is "bacterial SSU rRNA". It matches the Rfam family "Archaeal small subunit ribosomal RNA", at positions 459 to 871 of the family's 1478-position model. The record is from RNAcentral.